Long non-coding RNA from Helianthus annuus (common sunflower), 2501 nucleotides. RefSeq lists it as uncharacterized. Lineage: Eukaryota; Viridiplantae; Streptophyta; Magnoliopsida; Asterales; Asteraceae. The transcript is spliced from 3 exons. The record is from RefSeq and is a predicted model, not a curated record.
CAUGGCUUUGGGUGAGUUUCAAAAAAAAAAAAAAAGAAUUCUAUGGUCGUGCUUCAUAGACGUGUCCACGCAUCUAUGCAGUCAUUUUUAUGAGUUUUCUGUGAAACAGAGAAAGAUAGAGACUCCAGUCAGAGGGAGAAAGGGAGAUUCGGAAAAGAGAGGGAGAAGUGUCUCCGGCAACCGGCUUCCGACAUCCUAGCUGCCUGCAAUGUAUCUGUUUUUCUUCUACAACUAUACCUUUUGCGAUGACUGGAAGAUAGAAAGACAAAGGUUGCGCGUUGGUAACUGGAUCUAGGGUUCCGGUGAAACCCUGCUAAGUGUUUCUUCACUUAGAUGUUCCACCAUUUUUGAUAGAUCGGUCUAAGAUGUGUUGCUUGAGACUGUUUUCGGUGUUUCGGAACUUCGAUGAAGUUCCGGCAUACUCCGGCGACUGGCAGUGCUUGAUCUGCGUCACUGCAAGCGUGGUAGGACUUUCGGCUAAGGGCGUAAAGAGAGAGAGAGAGGUUCGAGACGAGAAUGGGAGGGAAUAGGCUGGCGGCAGGAGCGGUGGUUAAUGGUGAGUGUUCCGCCACACGUGUCGCGGAGAUGGUGGAAUCGGCGGCGAUUUGGGGAUUUAUGGAGUGGAUCUUGCAGCGGCGGUGACUCAACGAGCAGCGACGUAAAACUCAAGCGCCCGUUGGUGUUGAUAUGAAACCGAAGCCUGAUUAUUUCUAAAGGCAGGAAGGGGUUCGAAACAAAAUAAUACCAAUUGCUUGGUGUCCAUUGCCUCUACCAUGGUUGAUGACACCUAACACGAUUUUCCAUCGACCAAGAUUAACAACAUCGGUGAUCUUUUGACCAUUUUAUCUCCACGCGUACAUCCCAUCAACGACUGUGUUCUUAGGGCUUUCAUACCUGAACGCAUCAUCAUCGCUGAUCCCAAGUGCCCGGUGGUGUCGUCAACCGUUUCUUCUAUUCGCCAACAGAAGGUAAGAGAUCUAUAUUAGUUUUAACUACUUAAUUUUAUUAAUACUUGCAAACUAUGAUUUUUGAAGGCUAAUUGAAGAAAUACUAAUCCAAUUCUAAGAGGUUUAGGAAGGUUUGCCAAUCAGAUUUACAAGCCAAUUUCCAACUCUUAAGUUCGGUUUUUUCGAUUUUUCUCGGAUUAAUAAGUUGAUUUCCGACCCCAACUUUGGUUAACGACUUCUAUGACGGUUCUCUUUUAGAAUUUUCAAAAGGUAUUUCUUCUUCCCUGUUUGUAUGUAAUAGAUUUGUUACAAUCAAUCUUGAACGAAAUAUUGUUACAACUGUAUCCUUGAACAAUAUAGGCUAUAGCAUCCCUAUUUUGAUAAAAAAAAAUGAUGAAAAAAGAUUCCAUGCCGCACCAAAAAGUUUCUCUUGGGCCGAUCUCAUUUCCGUCCUCAGAUUAAAUAUCUGAAUCUCAAUUUGAACCACCGAAAGAACUCAAAAGUAACUCGGUUAGUGUUCAUUCUGUAGACACUAAUAAAAUCAAGAUUACUUUUUAUUUAAUUUGUUUUGGUUAUGGUGUAGGAAAGAACUCAAAAGUAACUCGGUUAGUGUUUUAUUCAAUGGACACUAAUAAAAUCAAGAUUACUUUUUAUUUAAUUUGUUUUCGUUAUGGUGUAGGUUAUUCAAUACGGGUUCUUGCUAUGGAAAGGAAAGGAACAACUUAACGUCUCUCCUGAGUCCCUUUUGAAGUUUAUGGAAUUGAGGUGGACUUGCUUAAAAGCUGAAGGUUUGCAUCAAGAUGACCAAGCCAGUUGAUUGUCGUCGAGAGAAAGAAAGAAUGUAGCAGGAAGGGCUGAUUUCGAUUUUGUGACCAGUUGAAAGAAUGAAGCAUCAUAAGAAUUAAAAGAAAAAGGAAGUGUGAUUGUGAAUUGAUUUUUCUUAUUGGUGAUUGGUGAAAAUCAAUUAAAGUGGGUCGGUGGAUUUAUUUUCUAAAGAUCAAAGCAAGCAUGUGAUAAUUAAUUAUUUAAGCAAGCAACAAUGUUAGCUGCUGAAUUAUUUAUGAGGCAUCCAUGCAACAAGAAAGAAAGCAAAAUCGGACCCAUGCGGUUCAUUCAGCAAGAGCAAGAUCGGCAUCAUGUGUGGUUGGUAUAGCAGUCAGCAAGGAGAUUCGAAACAAGCAAGUGAGAGAGUUCGAAUCAGAAAGAAUCAAGCAAGAACGAGUAAGAUCGAUAUGGUUCACUUCGGAAAGAUAGCUAGCAUGACCACAUCAAGAUUACGGGGGUGAAUGUUGGGUUAAUCUUGAUGGGCUCGGGUCGAGUAUGGGUUAAAGUCAGGUCAUUAAACACCUAACGGGUCAUGGGUAAGGAUUGGUCCAAGUUUGACUGAGGGACAUGGUGAAAACGUAGGAAUAUUAUGAGGAGAGCAUAUGGGAGUGAAGCAACGAUUUUCUUGGAGUUAGUUUGUUUGUUAUUUUGGUUUUCUAUUUAAGUGUUAUUUUCUCAGUUGUAAAUCAUCCUUUUAAAAUCAAUAUACAAAAAGUUACGUAAGUUUUA